UGCAAGAGAUGGACAAGCAGCAUUGUGAUGUGAGCAUUAAGCACUGUCACAAUGCGCCCAUCUGAGGGCUAUGCAAAUCUGGGCCAUUUGAGAGCUGACAGCAACGCAGUCUUGGUGAUGAAACCUUCCCCAGCUCCAGGAUUCUGACUUCAGAGCCUACGCUGGAGUUAUACUGAAGGACUUGGAAUAAACUGAAGUUGGAAAUCACAUUAGGAUUUCAUAGAAGGUCCUAGGCUAAGUAUUGAUAACAGACAUGAAGAUAAGGAUACAGUCCCUGCACAGGACAGCCCUAGACUUGAUGGUGUGAGAAGACAAAGAAGACGUAUAUUUUCCAGGAAGGUAAGAUAAAAAGACAAGACAGAAUCCCAGGCCUACCUACCAACCAGCAGCCUCUUCUCUCGCUGAGCUGGAAUCCCAGUUUGAAGACGGGGACUUCCAAUUUCAUGUGUUUGCCAGAUUCCCUCAUCCGUGACUUGUGAACACCCGAGAGUCAAAGAAAGAGUCCUCAUGCUUUUUCUGAGACCUUCUGGACCCAGCACUCACAUGCUGACUGGCUGAUCGCUGACCUGCCCCGUGUUUUUAUGAGGAGCUUGAUAAGUAUGUGGUUGUGAGUUAAGGUAACUGGAGUGAAAAGGCUAGACUUGGUGUCUGUAAGCUAGCCAAAGGGGAGUUAUGACCAUAGCAGUAUGGUGUUAUGGCUUUUAGACUAGUAACUCCCCAUGUUUAACGUGCAUCAUCAACCCUCUGCAUACAGUUGCAGAAUCGUCCUGUCCACCCUGUUGGAUCAUCACAGAGGAGCUCAGAUAGCAGCUCUGGAGCCAUUUGAUGGAGACAUACACAGCUCAUUUCCCAACUUCAACACAGUGGCUAUUUUGCUUCUCAGAGUAGCAAAGAGUAAUAAUUUCAACAAUUGACCUCAUGCUUCGAGUGCUAACAAACUAAAGUGCUUGGUUCCUCUCCUUGACGCUUCACACACUUACAGAACUCUCCCAGCACCCUGCAGGACUGUAGCUAGAUGACUGAUGGGGAUGUGUAAGAAGGAGAGCAGUCCACCCUUGAACCUACAGAGGGAGGGCAGAGACAUAAGCCCAUGGCACCUUCACCAACUAUCUAGGGUUUGCUGUAUGCUUGGUAGUGGGCCGAUCUAUCUCAGCUUACAGUCAGGAUGCUAAUGAGAGCAGAGAAUGCCGAAGCACCCUGGGGAGAUGUUUGGAGGACUGGACACUGGGUGGGAGGUUUUCAACCUUAGGAGUUGCUUUUCUGAGAUGUGUGCCUACCUUUUUGCUGUUCUGGUGAUCCAAACCCAAGGCCUUGAGACACGAGCGAGCCCUGAGCUAUACCCACACCCCAGUCGCUGAGGUAGAACAUUUGAG
This 1373-nucleotide small RNA is filed under the name Rattus norvegicus (Norway rat). RNAcentral's name for it is "uncharacterized LOC108352696". Lineage: Eukaryota; Metazoa; Chordata; Mammalia; Rodentia; Muridae. The record is from RNAcentral.